Hirundo rustica (Barn swallow) is the source of this 553-nucleotide long non-coding RNA. RefSeq lists it as uncharacterized. The transcript is spliced from 3 exons. Lineage: Eukaryota; Metazoa; Chordata; Aves; Passeriformes; Hirundinidae. The record is from RefSeq and is a predicted model, not a curated record.
UGCUUUUCCCCCUGUGCCCUCGCUGUCCCCUGUCCCUGUGCUGGGUCCGAGCUGUUGGCCGGGCCGGGCGGAGCAGCAGCUGCAGCCCCGGGUGUCCCUGGAGCGCUGGGAGCUGCCGCUGGCCCCAGGCGCUGUCCCCUGAGGAGCUGCUGAAGGACGCUGCCCUGAGGACCUUGAGGACAGGCGGAGACCGACAGGAGCCAGCAGGGAGAAGCUGAAGGCCGCCAGCUCCAGCAGUGAACAGGGAGCUGCUGCUGCCAGCCCAGAGCCUGGAUGUGCCAUCUGCUGUCCCUGUCCAGGAGAGCUGCUCUGCACAGGAGGAAGCAAGCACGGAAAGAAAAGCUUUGAAGACUGGGCAGCUGAAAUCUCUCUGUUUAGAAUUCUGUUUAAAGAUAUAUGGACUUAGGAGAUUUAUGACUGUAUAUUUGUAUUGAUGGAUGGAUAUAUUUGCAGAUGGCUGGGUACAGUUACCUAUUCACAAAUAGUUUAUGUAUCUAUUUAUAUAUAUAUUGUAUAUAAUAUGUAGUAUUUAUUCUCUAUUUACUUCUGUAUA